This 253-nucleotide ribosomal RNA is filed under the name uncultured bacterium. RNAcentral's name for it is "partial 16S ribosomal RNA". It matches the Rfam family "Bacterial small subunit ribosomal RNA", at positions 524 to 776 of the family's 1533-position model. The record is from RNAcentral.
UACAGAGGUCUCAAGCGUUGUCCGGAUUUAUUGGGCGUAAAGAGCGUGUAGGCGGCCAGGUAGGUCAGCUGUGAAAACUCGAGGCUCAACCUCGAGACGUCGGCGGAAACCAUCUGGCUAGAGUCCGGAAGAGGAGAGUGGAAUUCCUGGUGUAGCGGUGAAAUGCGCAGAUAUCAGGAAGAACACCCGUGGCGAAGGCGGCUCUCUGGGACGGUACUGACGCUGAGACGCGAAAGCGUGGGGAGCGAACAGG